UUUUUUUUUUUUCCCCCUUAAGAUACUAUGAUCUUUUUUAUUAUUAUUAGAAUGGUACAGGAUUUCUCCAAGGAGAAUCAAUGUAGUACAAUAUAAGUAGCAUAAUACAGAAUCUGUAAGACAAUUUCUAAUCACCUGGACCCUCUGAAGAUCAGAUCUUAACACCUGGUUUGCUGUAUCAAUAUAACAAUCAUAAGCUAGACUCAAAUCAUACAAAAGAAUGAGUCACUCCCUCAGUCACUGGAGGAAGCACAUGAUGGUGGAUGUCCCCAGCAGGUCCUGGUCUCACUGUCCAGCAGCAGUUCUGGUCCGUGUUCCCCGUUAGGACUUGUAACUGCUUGGUUUUACAGACCAUGCUCUGGUGCUGUUAUCGUCCUUGUUCUUUAUCAGGGUCAUAAAUACCACCAGGCUGUCUGGGUGCCUGGGACCUUCAACACCAGUAAGGACUGGCGUUGUGCCCAGGAACCUUGAGGCUCGUAGGAAGGGGAAGGAAAAAUCUGUUUGCUUAGUCUACUUGGUGCACAGGACCUUCAGGACCUGAUAAUGAGGGGAAAGGGUUGACCCCAGAGGGUGGCUGCUUCCCUUAUAAAAUGGCAUUAGUUAUGCUGAUGUUGGUUAUGCUAACCACAUUGAGUAGGGUUUGGGAGCAGGGGGUACUGGUCACAGUUUCUUUAAGAAUCAAUUAAAAGAUUAACUUCUUUUAAUCAAAUAUUAACAAUCUGGUUAUUCUUCACUGUCUUUGUUGGUUCAGUUUCUAUCUCAGUUAUUGCUCAACUGAGAGAAAGCAGAAUUUUUUUGAGCAGUUACAAAGUGGAUGUGUAAAACUGUGUUCUCCAUGGUGGAAUUUUCACACCUCUCUUAUUGCCUUCAGUGAACAGAGCUGCUUGCUUCUUCAGCUUUCUUUUAUUUCCCUGCCAGACAGAUAAAGCCUGUCUGUCUUGUACUGUAAGGUUUCUGAGCAGUUGCAGCCAGGAUGUUAAAUCAGACAAAUGUCAUACCCACUGCAUUGCAGUGUUCGUUGUGUACUCGCCCUGUUAAAUAGACCAGAAUACCCUGCAAAGUCAAAUGUGAAUGAAUGAGACAAAGAGUUUGUGUAGCUCUGAAGCAUGUGUCUCUUGUUACUACACGAAACUGCUAGGCAAUCUGCUUUGCAAGGUGGAGUUCAUGACAUC
Molecule: long non-coding RNA, 1172 nt
Filed under: Strigops habroptila (Kakapo)
Lineage: Eukaryota; Metazoa; Chordata; Aves; Psittaciformes; Psittacidae
Description: lncRNA (ENSSHBG00005020669.1)
Source: RNAcentral